Molecule: transfer RNA, 71 nt
Filed under: Ictidomys tridecemlineatus (thirteen-lined ground squirrel)
Lineage: Eukaryota; Metazoa; Chordata; Mammalia; Rodentia; Sciuridae
Description: Spermophilus tridecemlineatus (thirteen-lined ground squirrel) tRNA
Rfam family: tRNA
About the family: Transfer RNA (tRNA) molecules are approximately 80 nucleotides in length. Their secondary structure includes four short double-helical elements and three loops (D, anti-codon, and T loops).
Source: Rfam by way of RNAcentral
GGGGUUGUAGCUUAGCAGUAGAGCUCUUGUCUCGAACGCACGGGACCCUGGGUUCGAUCCUCAGCACCCCA